RNAcentral lists this unclassified non-coding RNA (152 nucleotides) under uncultured Mycosphaerellaceae. RNAcentral's name for it is "sequence contains ITS1". The record is from RNAcentral. Lineage: Eukaryota; Fungi; Ascomycota; Dothideomycetes; Mycosphaerellales; Mycosphaerellaceae.
CUGAGUGAGGGCCUUCGGGUCCGACCUCCAACCCUUUGUGAACCAACUCUGUUGCUUCGGGGGCGACCCUGCCGUUUGCGCGGUGGCGGCGCCCCCGGAGGCCCAAUCAAACACUGCGUAACUUUGCGUCGGAGUCUUAAACAAACAAAUCA